UGGUCCGUAGCUCAACAGCAGAGCACCAGGCUCAUAACCUGAAGGGUGCUGGUGCAAUUCCAGCCGGACCGACCA
Molecule: transfer RNA, 75 nt
Filed under: Prosthecobacter sp.
Lineage: Bacteria; Pseudomonadati; Verrucomicrobiota; Verrucomicrobiia; Verrucomicrobiales; Verrucomicrobiaceae
Also listed under: 1 other name
Description: tRNA-Ile
Rfam family: tRNA
About the family: Transfer RNA (tRNA) molecules are approximately 80 nucleotides in length. Their secondary structure includes four short double-helical elements and three loops (D, anti-codon, and T loops).
Source: RNAcentral